Molecule: ribosomal RNA, 469 nt
Filed under: uncultured bacterium
Lineage: Bacteria
Description: bacterial SSU rRNA
Rfam family: Bacterial small subunit ribosomal RNA
Source: RNAcentral
CGCUGGCGGCAGGCCUAACACAUGCAAGUCGAGCGGAUGACAGGAGCUUGCUCCUGAAUUCAGCGGCGGACGGGUGAGUAAUGCCUAGGAAUCUGCCUGGUAGUGGGGGACAACGUUUCGAAAGGAACGCUAAUACCGCAUACGUCCUACGGGAGAAAGCAGGGGACCUUCGGGCCUUGCGCUAUCAGAUGAGCCUAGGUCGGAUUAGCUAGUUGGUGAGGUAAUGGCUCACCAAGGCGACGAUCCGUAACUGGUCUGAGAGGAUGAUCAGUCACACUGGAACUGAGACACGGUCCAGACUCCUACGGGAGGCAGCAGUGGGGAAUAUUGGACAAUGGGCGAAAGCCUGAUCCAGCCAUGCCGCGUGUGUGAAGAAGGUCUUCGGAUUGUAAAGCACUUUAAGUUGGGAGGAAGGGUUGUAGAUUAAUACUCUGCAAUUUUGACGUUACCGACAGAAUAAGCACCGGCU